UACGUAGGGUCCGAGCGUUGUCCGGAAUUAUUGGGCGUAAAGAGCUCGUAGGCGGUUUGUCGCGUCUGCUGUGAAAUCCCGAGGCUCAACCUCGGGCCUGCAGUGGGUACGGGCAGACUGGAGUGCGGUAGGGGAGAAUGGAAUUCCUGGUGUAGCGGUGGAAUGCGCAGAUAUCGGGAAGAACAUCAGUGGCGAAGGCGGCCUGCUGGGCUGUUGCUGACGCUGAGGCGCGACAGCGUGGGGAGCAAACAGG
This 253-nucleotide ribosomal RNA is filed under the name uncultured bacterium. Its description in RNAcentral is "partial 16S ribosomal RNA". It matches the Rfam family "Bacterial small subunit ribosomal RNA", at positions 524 to 776 of the family's 1533-position model. The record is from RNAcentral.